GAUCAUGGCUCAAGAACGAACGCUGGCGGCAUGCCUAACACAUGCAAGUCGAACGAACCCGUUCGGGGUUAGUGGCGCACGGGUGCGUAACACGUGGGAAUCUGCCCUUUGCUUCGGAAUAACAGUUAGAAAUGACUGCUAAUACCGGAUGAUGUCGUAAGACCAAAGAUUUAUCGGCAAAGGAUGAGCCCGCGUAGGAUUAGGUAGUUGGUGGGGUAAAGGCCUACCAAGCCGACGAUCCUUAGCUGGUCUGAGAGGAUGAUCAGCCACACUGGGACUGAGACACGGCCCAGACUCCUACGGGAGGCAGCAGUGGGGAAUAUUGGACAAUGGGCGAAAGCCUGAUCCAGCAAUGCCGCGUGAGUGAUGAAGGCCUUCGGGUUGUAAAGCUCUUUACCAGGGAUGAUAAUGACAGUACCUGGAGAAUAAGCUCCGGCUAACUCCGUG
RNAcentral lists this ribosomal RNA (447 nucleotides) under uncultured bacterium. RNAcentral describes it as "bacterial SSU rRNA". It matches the Rfam family "Bacterial small subunit ribosomal RNA", at positions 15 to 507 of the family's 1533-position model. The record is from RNAcentral.